GGUGUCCCGGGCAGGUUUUGGGCUGUCCCAGAUGAAUUUUGGGGUGUCCCAGGUGAAUUUUGGGGUGUCCUGGGCAGGUUUCGGGGUGUCCUGGGCGGGUUUUGGGUUGCCUGGGUGUAUUUUGGGAUGUUCCAGGCGGGUUUCGGGGUGUCCCAGAUGAAUUUCGGGGUGUCCCGGGUGGAUUUUGGGAUGUCCCAGAUGAAUUUUAGGGUUCCUGGGUGUAUUUUGGGGUGUCCCGGGCAGGUUUUGGGGUGUCCUGGGUGGGGUUUGGGGUGCCCCGGGCAGGUUUCGGGGUGUCCUGGAUGAAUUUUAGGGUUCCUGGGUGCAUUUUGGGGUGU
This is a non-coding RNA of Taeniopygia guttata (zebra finch), 338 nucleotides long. The record is from RefSeq and is a predicted model, not a curated record. NCBI's taxonomy places the organism in Eukaryota, Metazoa, Chordata, Aves, Passeriformes, Estrildidae.